GAUCAUGGCUCAGAUUGAACGCUGGCGGCAGGCUUAACACAUGCAAGUCGAACGGUAACAUAAAGAAGCUUGCUUCUUUGAUGACGAGUGGCGGACGGGUGAGUAAUGCUUGGGAAUCUAGCUUAUGGAGGGGGAUAACUACGGGAAACUGUAGCUAAUACCGCGUAGUACCGAAAGAUUAAAGUGUGGGACCUUCGGGCCACAUGCCAUAGGAUGAGCCCAAGUGGGAUUAGGUAGUUGGUGAGG
RNAcentral lists this ribosomal RNA (246 nucleotides) under uncultured bacterium. Its description in RNAcentral is "partial 16S ribosomal RNA". It matches the Rfam family "Bacterial small subunit ribosomal RNA", at positions 15 to 257 of the family's 1533-position model. The record is from RNAcentral.